GUGCACGCUGGCGGUAGGCCUAACACCUGCAAGUCGCACGGCAGCACAGUAAGAGCUUGCUCUUACGGGUGGCGAGUGGCGGACGGGUGAGGAAUACAUCGGAAUCUACUUUUUCGUGGGGGAUAACGUAGGGAAACUUACGCUAAUACCGCAUACGACCUACGGGUGAAAGCCGGGGAUCUUCGGACCUUGCGCGAUUGAAUGAGCCGAUGUCGGAUUAGCUAGUUGGCGGGGUAAAGGCCCACCAAGGCGACGAUCCGUAGCUGGUCUGAGAGGAUGAUCAGCCACACUGGAACUGAGACACGGUCCAGACUCCUACGGGAGGCAGCAGUGGGGAAUAUUGGACAAUGGGCGCAAGCCUGAUCCAGCCAUACCGCGUGGGUGAAGAAGGCCUUCGGGUUGUAAAGCCCUUUUGUUGGGAAAGAAAAGCAGCAGGUUAAUACCCCGCUGUUCUGACGGUACCCAAAGAAUAAGCACCGGCUAACUUCGUG
RNAcentral lists this ribosomal RNA (491 nucleotides) under uncultured bacterium. Its description in RNAcentral is "partial 16S ribosomal RNA". It matches the Rfam family "Bacterial small subunit ribosomal RNA", at positions 29 to 507 of the family's 1533-position model. The record is from RNAcentral.